GGCCGGUUAGCUCAGUUGGUUAGAGCGUCGUGCUAAUAACGCGAAUGUCGUGGGUUCGCCCCAUACUGGUCA
Molecule: transfer RNA, 72 nt
Filed under: Octopus vulgaris (common octopus)
Lineage: Eukaryota; Metazoa; Mollusca; Cephalopoda; Octopoda; Octopodidae
Also listed under: 1 other name
Rfam family: tRNA
About the family: Transfer RNA (tRNA) molecules are approximately 80 nucleotides in length. Their secondary structure includes four short double-helical elements and three loops (D, anti-codon, and T loops).
Source: Rfam by way of RNAcentral